RNAcentral lists this ribosomal RNA (254 nucleotides) under uncultured bacterium. RNAcentral describes it as "partial 16S ribosomal RNA". It matches the Rfam family "Bacterial small subunit ribosomal RNA", at positions 524 to 776 of the family's 1533-position model. The record is from RNAcentral.
UACGUAGGGUGCGAGCGUUAAUCGGAAUUACUGGGCGUAAAGUGUGCGCAGGCGGUCGUUCAAGUCGCGUGUGAAAGCCCCCGGCUCAACUGGGGAGGGUCACGCGAUACUGAUCGACUCGAAGGCAGGAGAGGGUAGUGGAAUUCCCGGUGUAGUGGUGAAAUGCGUAGAUAUCGGGAGGAACACCAGUGGCGAAGGCGACUACCUGGCCUGUUUCUUGACGCUGAGGCGCGAAAGCUAGGGGAGCAAACGGG